AUUUCGGGCAAGAUGCGGAGAGAGUAGAGGGCGGAUCACGUAAGGUCACAGUACUGACCCAUUCUACAUCCUGGCAUUAAUGGACCUGCAUCAGCAAUGAGUGAAAUGGAGGGCCGUUUCCACUGGGGAAAGAGGCUGAAUGAUUUUUAAAUGGCUGACAGUGGCUGACCAGUGGACUGGGCACAGUGCGAUUAUGCUGUCGCAUGGCAGGCACAUCCAUCCAGGGAUGCUGGCACGGUUUGCUGAAUUUGGACUGAGCAACAAAGGACUGAUGGAAGCCUCACAUCUGAGGUAACAGCAGCGUGCUGCCACUCUCAGUGACCUCUGGUCAGCCUGUGGAGGCUGCUUGUGAAGCCUCCUCCUCGGACUCCAUGGCUGUGUGAGCGUAACUUCCGGAGCAUUGCUGAGUGUAAAGCAAGCAGCGGAUGGAGGUCAUGCGUUUCAGGUGAGAGGCUCUCUGCGACUACCAGAGAAGGGCGCAGCAGUGAGCACACGCACAUGCAAACUGGGCUUCCCAAACCGGAGAGGAAAUAGGGCCCAAAUGAAAAUAAAUUAACCAAUAUAACCAAAUGAACAUGAGGCAACCUGUUUAUGAUUGGCAGACAUAAUGUGUUUAACCAAUACAAUAACAUAACCAGCUUCUAUGUGCACUAUACGACCAAAAGUAUCUGGACGCCGCUUAGUCUGAGGCAGUUUUUCAAGGUUGGGCUAAAUGGAAGAAAAUCCCUACAGCAAUGCUCUAUCUAGUA
This is a long non-coding RNA of Anguilla anguilla (European eel), 749 nucleotides long. RefSeq lists it as uncharacterized. The transcript is spliced from 5 exons. Lineage: Eukaryota; Metazoa; Chordata; Actinopteri; Anguilliformes; Anguillidae. The record is from RefSeq and is a predicted model, not a curated record.